CAGCCGCCGCGGGAAUACGGAGGGGGCUAGCGUUGUUCGGAAUUACUGGGCGUAAAGCGCACGUAGGCGGCUUGGUAAGUUAGAGGUGAAAGCCCGGAGCUCAACUCCGGAAUUGCCUUUAAGACUGCCGAGCUAGCAGGUGAGAGAGGUAAGUGGAAUUCCGAGUGUAGAGGUGAAAUUCGUAGAUAUUCGGAAGAACACCAGUGGCGAAGGCGGCUUACUGGCUCAUACUGGACGCUGAGGUGCGAAAGAGUGGGGAGCAAACAGGAUUAGAUACCCCUGUAGUCCCUGUCUCUUAUAA
RNAcentral lists this ribosomal RNA (301 nucleotides) under uncultured bacterium. RNAcentral's name for it is "partial 16S ribosomal RNA". It matches the Rfam family "Bacterial small subunit ribosomal RNA", at positions 509 to 808 of the family's 1533-position model. The record is from RNAcentral.